GCCUACACAUGCACUAGUCUGUACUCUGUGUAGCUGCUCAAAAUGCUGAUUGCACUGACCUUCACCACCUCCCAACAAAAUAAAAUGAGAGCGCAAGACGCGGAGGGGGAGAAGACGUGGAGAAGACACUCUUGACAGAUCUGUGAACGGUGUCCCUCCAUGUUUUUUUUUCUUUCUCAAAUAAAUCUCAUCGUUUUUUAUAAUACUUGUUGUCUUGGCUUCCCUGGACAAGACAACAGGUCUAAGAGUCAGGAACCAAAGCAGUCAGAGGAGCCAAAUAGAGGUGUAAAGCAAGGCUAGAACGUAGCAGCUAGAACGUAGCGGCUAGGCAGCAGCGAGUACGGCUGGGAAGCUAGCUAGCUAACGGGUGGCUCAUCAGACUCGCCUUUAUUCUGCAGAGGAGAGUGUGGCUGACGAGGUGAAGACUGGCAGGUGUGUCGGUGAGACAGGUGCAAUGAUUGGGGAGACGCCCAGCCCACACUGAAUUAAGGCAAAGGUCACCAAAAACAACAGGGUGAGGGGACACACGGUAGAUUGCUGAGGACAAUGGAUUCCAACACUCUCGUCUUCAGGCUAGCGUUAAACCAUGACACACACGGUGACUUCCUGUGAUUACCCCGAGCCACGCGUGACAUCCAAAUGGAACUGGUUGUCUAAUGUGUAAAACACAGUAACUUACCUUUUAAAGUCCGUUUCCCACUGAUGAAGUUAGCGUAUGCUGAGUUCUCGUCAGGGUUCGUUCAAGGCCGCAAACCUACCCCAAACAUUCUCCAACACUUUUAAUGUUUUGUUUUUUUCUCAUCGCAAGGAAAUUUGGAACGUUUCAAAUGAAUUUGCUUUCUAGCGAGCUGGAACAGUAGAUAUUAAUAUAGUACAACAAGUACACUGAUGCCAUGUCCGCGUUAAUAUAUGAGGUGUGUCAGAAAAGUUAUAGGACUGAUGUCACACUCACCACAAAAAAUUUUUCAUUGCAAUAUAUAAACUGAAAGUUUUUCCAUUCUAAGUAAUCCCCCUGGGCUAAAACACACUUCCCCAGCUUUAUCGGCAACACUUUCAUGCAUUCUUAUGGAAUCUUUCGGAGCUCAUUGUGAUCAGCCACAAGUUGUCCUGCUAGAGCUCUCGCCUCUUCUCGCACACUGAACAAAGCAAACUCCGGUGGUUCUCUUUUUAGAUUUGCUGGUUGACUGUCCACACUCCCUCUUUGCGGUUUGGGUUUGAAGUAUUGUAUUAAAAAAAAUAACUCAUCCACUCACGAGUUUUGUUUACUUACUCCACACUUCACUAUGUUUCGGUUUCGGCUUUGCACAUUGGGUGUUGAUUAUUUUGACAAUUUAGCCGAAUGUGUGAUGAGUAAUUCCACUUUGCUGUGAUUGCGCUCUUUCCUUUGACAUAUUAUUUCUAUGUUGUGGUUUAUAGUCUGCCAAAGUGUAUUUCAUGAGGACAGGUUAUUUAAACACACACACAUUUGUGUGGAUGGAUAGAUUUCAGACGUAGCUAAAAUGUUAUAUUUAGGAGGUAACUAAACUAUGUUCCACCAAUGGAAUUUUGCCCAUUACAAUUCAGUACGCUACACACAUUUGGUGUACUACUUGACAUUGUACAUUGAGCAUUAGAAAUCAAACAUUUUACAUAGCCCUUCAGAAUAAUAAGAAAUAAUAGUUAAAAAUACAGUUAUUAUUUAUCCCAUUUCUUUUCUCAGGUUUAAAGAUUCACUACACAGAUUAAAUCCAAAUUGACACACACCCAGCAUAUUCGCAACACAACGUGAAUUGUGUUGUGUCCCGAAGCAAGUUUGUUGGCCUGUGCAUUGCUCAGUGACAUGCUGGCAGUGUUCAGAACACAUGCAAUAUGAAAUGUAAUACCUUUAAAUUAUGUGCAAUAAGCAAUUCCCAUUUUUUAAGUCAGUUUUUAUCAUUUGCAAAUAAAAUACUGCAACUGCA
Long non-coding RNA from Hippocampus comes (tiger tail seahorse), 1940 nucleotides. RefSeq lists it as uncharacterized. Lineage: Eukaryota; Metazoa; Chordata; Actinopteri; Syngnathiformes; Syngnathidae. The record is from RefSeq and is a predicted model, not a curated record. The transcript has 2 exons.